UAUGUACUCCCUCCGUCCAGAAUUACUUGUCACGGAAAUGGAUGUAUCUAGACAUUUUUUAGUCUAAAUACAUCCAGUUUUAUUCAUUUUGGAGACAAGUAAUUCUAGACCGAGGAAUACUAU
Molecule: non-coding RNA, 123 nt
Organism: Triticum aestivum (bread wheat)
Lineage: Eukaryota; Viridiplantae; Streptophyta; Magnoliopsida; Poales; Poaceae
Source: Rfam